Molecule: ribosomal RNA, 242 nt
Filed under: uncultured bacterium
Lineage: Bacteria
Description: partial 16S ribosomal RNA
Rfam family: Bacterial small subunit ribosomal RNA
Source: RNAcentral
CGAACGGGUGAGUAAUACAUAAGUAACCUGCCCUAGACAGGGGGAUAACUAUUGGAAACGAUAGCUAAUACCGCAUAGGUAUAUGAUUCGCAUGAAUGAUAUAUUAAAGAUGCUUCAAAGCAUUGGUAGAGGAUGGACUUAUGGCGCAUUAGCUAGUUGGUAAGGUAAAGGCUUACCAAGGCGACGAUGCGUAGCCGACCUGAGAGGGUGACCGGCCACACUGGGACUGAGACACGGCCCAG